CACGUAGGGGGCGAGCGUUAUCCGGAUUUACUGGGCGUAAAGCGCGUUAAGGCGGCCGGCAAAGUUGGUUGUGAAAUUUCGGGGCUCAACCCCGAAACUGCGUCCAAUACUGGUCGGCUGGAGUGUGAGAGAGGAAGGUGGAAUUCUCGGUGUAGCGGUGAAAUGCGUAGAUAUCGAGAGGAACACCUGCGGCGAAGGCGGGUUGCUGGGCCGACACUGACGCUGAUGCGCGAAAGCCAGGGGAGCGAACGGG
RNAcentral lists this ribosomal RNA (253 nucleotides) under uncultured bacterium. RNAcentral's name for it is "partial 16S ribosomal RNA". It matches the Rfam family "Bacterial small subunit ribosomal RNA", at positions 524 to 776 of the family's 1533-position model. The record is from RNAcentral.